RNAcentral lists this unclassified non-coding RNA (397 nucleotides) under Hevea brasiliensis (rubber tree). The record is from RNAcentral. Lineage: Eukaryota; Viridiplantae; Streptophyta; Magnoliopsida; Malpighiales; Euphorbiaceae.
GUUCCUCGAUCAGAACACCAACCUAUGGAAAUAAAUUAUGUGCCAAAAGAAGAAUGAAGUGUUAAAAUUUGGUACAAAGGAAAAGGGAGCACCUAUCUAACAAGGACAUCACAAUAUAGAACUAAUUGUUGAUAAGAAAGAAAAGGAAGAGAAGCCAGAUAUAUCACCCCUCCCCACCACACCCAUUCCCUCUAUAUGAAGAUUCUGGCUCCACUAAUGUUCACAUAGGUUAUGCAGAGAUUGGAGAGAGUCCAUCAUACAGCAUAUUAGCUUCACGCACACACACUAUGCAAGCAUAUAAAAGCAAUUAAUGUAGACAAUUCACAGCAAAGAGGGGAAAAUAAACAUACCUCUUCUAUGCAGAAUAAGGAACCAGCACUGAUGAAGGUUGCGGGGA